Molecule: non-coding RNA, 86 nt
Organism: Chelonoidis abingdonii (Abingdon island giant tortoise)
Lineage: Eukaryota; Metazoa; Chordata; Testudines; Testudinidae
Source: RefSeq, a predicted model, not a curated record
GCUCAAUUUACACUUAAGGUGCCUGACAGUUCCCAUUAUAAGAUCAUGUUUUCAGUUGUUUAUAACUUUGCCAAAGUUGAACCAUU